Molecule: long non-coding RNA, 1211 nt
Organism: Hippocampus zosterae (dwarf seahorse)
Lineage: Eukaryota; Metazoa; Chordata; Actinopteri; Syngnathiformes; Syngnathidae
Exons: 3
Source: RefSeq, a predicted model, not a curated record
AGGCCACAUGCCAGCAUCGAGCAAAGGCACCAUCCGGGUGCACUGUGACUCACCCCAACCCUCAGGAGAGAACACAAUGAAGUAGGCUACUCUUUUAGCAAAUACAGUACUUCACCUCUCCUCCAGAAUCUGUCUUCCCUUUUUUCUUUGACAAAACAAUGCGACUCGCUCCAGCAGUGCUCCCUGGCCUCACAGCAAUAUAAACGACAGAGGACAAAAAGAAACAACUGGAAUCACAAGUUAGUUCUGGUGGCUAUUUCUGGAUCUCAAGGCUACUGUUUCUUUAAUUACUUUAAACACUUCCAUGAGAAGACUGGCAUCCCUGUGAUCCCCCUCCGGCCCACCGCUCUCAUUCAAACCUCCUUAGGUCUUGGUCGACACUCUGUGCCUGACCCCACAUUAAACUAAGUAGACGACGACGUGAGUGGCAGCUGCUGGGAGACAGAAGUAUUGAUCGCACGACCGCAAGUUGUCGAUUGAGACCCCUACCAGGUUGAUGAGGUAAUUGGCAAUCUUGCAGCUCCGUGCGUAGGAUUGGACAGAUUAAAAAAAAAUACUCAAAUUAGAUUUUGCUUUAUUCAGUUAUUUAACAAUUUUGGUAACUGUCUUUUUUCAGCAUUUUGUAAAUCAAAAGGGAACGCUGUAGUGAACAUAUUUAUAUGCUACAGUAUUAUGUUUCAUUCUGUCGGGCUCAUAAUGUAUAUAACUUUAUUUUUUCUCUCAGUACUCUCCAGUUUAUUUGCACAUAACCAUACUGAAUUCUCAUGUCGAUGUGUCGAAAUGUUUUUUGAUUGAAUCCUGCCAAAAUCAACCUCAAAUGGCAGCUUAACUAAACCUGUCCCUGAGGCAGAAGUAAAAACAAAAAGGGAGUCAUAGCCAUUCAUCUUCACAGAAAUAAAACGAAAAAACAAGAAAUAGUCUGAUAACUAACGACUUGAAAUGAGGAUGCGUUUAUGUCUUCUUCAAUAAUGUGAGUACCACCCGGAGAAAUCUGGAAAAUGGUUUCACAGCAGAGGGGCUUGAUAAUUAAAGGCUUGCCUCUAUGUCAGGUUCUGGACCGAACCAAAUAAUGUUUUAGGAUCGCACAACUGCAGGCUCAGACAAACUGUGAUCACAAAAAGAUUUAAUUUCAGAAAAGUGCACCGACAAAGUACAAACAGAAAUCGCUGUCACAUGGAGGCAGGGGAAACAAUGCAUAAACAAAAGCCCUU